Molecule: ribosomal RNA, 585 nt
Filed under: Rhodococcus sp. PDA18
Lineage: Bacteria; Bacillati; Actinomycetota; Actinomycetes; Mycobacteriales; Nocardiaceae
Description: bacterial SSU rRNA
Rfam family: Bacterial small subunit ribosomal RNA
Source: RNAcentral
CCUACGGGAGGCAGCAGUGGGGAAUAUUGCACAAUGGGCGAAAGCCUGAUGCAGCGACGCCGCGUGAGGGAUGACGGCCUUCGGGUUGUAAACCUCUUUCAGCAGGGACGAAGCGAAAGUGACGGUACCUGCAGAAGAAGCACCGGCCAACUACGUGCCAGCAGCCGCGGUAAUACGUAGGGUGCAAGCGUUGUCCGGAAUUACUGGGCGUAAAGAGCUUGUAGGCGGUUUGUCGCGUCGUCUGUGAAAACUCGAGGCUCAACCUCGAGCUUGCAGGCGAUACGGGCAGACUUGAGUACUGCAGGGGAGACUGGAAUUCCUGGUGUAGCGGUGAAAUGCGCAGAUAUCAGGAGGAACCCCGGUGGCGAAGGCGGGUCUCUGGGCAGUAACUGACGCUGAGGAGCGAAAGCGUGGGUAGCGAACAGGAUUAGAUACCCUGGUAGUCCACGCCGUAAACGGUGGGCGCUAGGUGUGGGUUUCCUUCCACGGGAUCCGUGCCGUAGCUAACGCAUUAAGCGCCCCGCCUGGGGAGUACGGCCGCAAGGUUAAAACUCAAAGGAUUUGACGGGGGCCCUCACAAGCGGC